Molecule: ribosomal RNA, 256 nt
Filed under: uncultured bacterium
Lineage: Bacteria
Description: partial 16S ribosomal RNA
Rfam family: Bacterial small subunit ribosomal RNA
Source: RNAcentral
UACGGAGGGGGGCUAGCGUCGUUCGGAAUUACUGGGCGUAAAGCGCACGUAGGCGGCUUUGUAAGUUAGAGGUGAAAGCCCAGGGCUUAACCCUGGAAUUGCCUUUAAGACUGCAUCGCUAGAAUCGUGGAGAGGUGAGUGGAAUUCCGAGUGUAGAGGUGAAAUUCGUAGAUAUUCGGAAGAACACCAGUGGCGAAGGCGACUCACUGGACACGUAUUGACGCUGAGGUGCGAAAAGCGUGGGGGAGCAAACAGG